This 72-nucleotide transfer RNA is filed under the name Parapercis sexfasciata (grubfish). Its description in RNAcentral is "tRNA-Leu(CUN)". The record is from RNAcentral. Lineage: Eukaryota; Metazoa; Chordata; Actinopteri; Uranoscopiformes; Pinguipedidae.
GCUUUUAUAGGACAACAGUCGUCCAUUGAUUUUAGGCAUCAAAACUUCUUGGUGCAACUCCAAGUAAAAGCU